Vigna radiata var. radiata (mung bean) is the source of this 351-nucleotide long non-coding RNA. RefSeq lists it as uncharacterized. The record is from RefSeq and is a predicted model, not a curated record. The transcript is spliced from 3 exons. Lineage: Eukaryota; Viridiplantae; Streptophyta; Magnoliopsida; Fabales; Fabaceae.
ACAUUUUCUCUCUCUAAAGACCAAAAUCUUCUUCUUUGUGCUCUGUCUUCUCUCUUAAAUCCUCCUUCACUAAAUCAUCUUCUCAACAAUCAGAACCUACAUAAGGAUUCCUGGCGUUGAGAGCUCGAAAUCCCACCGAUCAAUUUGGCAUUUCUCUAACUAGUGGUCUAGCACUUCCAGAAGUGAAAAGGGGCGUGCUUGAGGGUUUUCUUGAGCUAAAAAGAGGAAUUUUGUUACUGCAGUUUAGAGAGAUUUCAGAAGCCCCAUUGGAGCAACUUCUAGAUGUACCAGAUAUCUCAGACACUGCUGAUGCUGUAGAGUAGUGUAACUCAGUUAUCAUCUAUUGUACAU